CCGACUAAAGGUAUAACCUUUUAGGUCAAGCCGACUUAUGUUAACGAGACUUAACCUAGUCGACAUCCGACUAACUAAGAUCGAUGGGACCAGACCCAGUCGGCAUUCAACCGAUUUGGUUCGACAUACAAUCGACAACUAGCUGGGCUGGUCUGUAUAGUCGGCACUCGACCAACGACUUACUCAGUGCUACACUGACUAAGGAACAAACGACAGUUAUUCAACAUAAACAUUAACUAUACGU
This 244-nucleotide long non-coding RNA is filed under the name Elaeis guineensis (African oil palm). Its description in RNAcentral is "long non-coding RNA (EGUI_LNC032433)". The record is from RNAcentral. Lineage: Eukaryota; Viridiplantae; Streptophyta; Magnoliopsida; Arecales; Arecaceae.